This 209-nucleotide long non-coding RNA is filed under the name Mytilus galloprovincialis (Mediterranean mussel). The record is from RNAcentral. Lineage: Eukaryota; Metazoa; Mollusca; Bivalvia; Mytilida; Mytilidae.
GGGGGGGACUAGGAUUAAAUUUGAAAAAAAUAGGCAGGACAGGAGUUCUGAGUAAAAAAAAAAAGCAGGAUGACAAUUUAUGAAAAAAAGUCAGGACAAACUAAUAAUAAAAAAGGCAGGACCGAAUAGAGGGAAAAAUAAAAAGGCAGGACAGAGAUUACAACUUAAAAAAAAGGCAGGACAAAAUUUUUCAUCCUAGCCCCCCCCCC